UACGGAGGGUGCAAGCGUUAUCCGGAUUCACUGGGUUUAAAGGGAGCGUAGGUGGGCUGGUAAGUCAGUGGUGAAAUCUCCGUGCUUAACAUGGAAACUGCCAUUGAUACUACUGGUCUUGAAUUUUCCGGAGGUAAGCGGAAUAUGUCAUGUAGCGGUGAAAUGCUUAGAUAUGACAUAGAACACCAAUUGCGAAGGCAGCUUACUACAGGGACAUUGACACUGAGGCACGAAAGCGUGGGGAUCAAACAGG
RNAcentral lists this ribosomal RNA (253 nucleotides) under uncultured bacterium. Its description in RNAcentral is "partial 16S ribosomal RNA". It matches the Rfam family "Bacterial small subunit ribosomal RNA", at positions 524 to 776 of the family's 1533-position model. The record is from RNAcentral.